RNAcentral lists this ribosomal RNA (497 nucleotides) under uncultured bacterium. RNAcentral describes it as "partial 16S ribosomal RNA". It matches the Rfam family "Bacterial small subunit ribosomal RNA", at positions 28 to 507 of the family's 1533-position model. The record is from RNAcentral.
GAUGAACGCUGGCGGCGUGCCUAAUACAUGCAAGUCGAGCGAACGGACGAGAAGCUUGCUUCUCUGAUGUUAGCGGCGGACGGGUGAGUAACACGUGGAUAACCUACCUAUAAGACUGGGAUAACUUCGGGAAACCGGAGCUAAUACCGGAUAAUAUUUUGAACCGCAUGGUUCAAAAGUGAAAGACGGUCUUGCUGUCACUUAUAGAUGGAUCCGCGCUGCAUUAGCUAGUUGGUAAGGUAACGGCUUACCAAGGCAACGAUGCAUAGCCGACCUGAGAGGGUGAUCGGCCACACUGGAACUGAGACACGGUCCAGACUCCUACGGGAGGCAGCAGUAGGGAAUCUUCCGCAAUGGGCGAAGGCCUGACGGAGCAACGCCGCGUGAGCGAUGAAGGUCUUCGGAUCGUAAAACUCUGUUAUUAGGGAAGAACAUAUGUGUAAGUAACUGUGCACAUCUUGACGGUACCUAAUCAGAAAGCCACGGCUAACUACGUG